UACGUAGGGGGCAAGCGUUGUCCGGAAUCAUUGGGCGUAAAGAACGUGUAGGCGGCCCGAUAAGUCCGCUGUGAAAGUCCAGGGCUCAACCCUGGAAUGCCGGUGGAUACUGUCGGGCUCGAAUCCGGAAGAGGUGAGUGGAAUUCUGGUGUAGCGGUGAAAUGCGCAGAUAUCAGGAGGAACACCGGUGGCGAAGGCGGGUCUCUGGGCCGAUACUGACGCUGAGGAGCGAAAGCGUGGGGAGCGAACAGG
Molecule: ribosomal RNA, 252 nt
Filed under: uncultured bacterium
Lineage: Bacteria
Description: partial 16S ribosomal RNA
Rfam family: Bacterial small subunit ribosomal RNA
Source: RNAcentral